Molecule: ribosomal RNA, 664 nt
Filed under: uncultured Dyella sp.
Lineage: Bacteria; Pseudomonadati; Pseudomonadota; Gammaproteobacteria; Lysobacterales; Rhodanobacteraceae
Description: bacterial SSU rRNA
Rfam family: Bacterial small subunit ribosomal RNA
Source: RNAcentral
AGAGUUUGAUCAUGGCUCAGAUUGAACGCUGGCGGCAUGCCUAACACAUGCAAGUCGAACGGCAGCACAGGUAGCAAUACCGGGUGGCGAGUGGCGGACGGGUGAGGAAUACAUCGGGACCUGCCCAGACGUGGGGGAUAACGUAGGGAAACUUACGCUAAUACCGCAUACGUCCUACGGGAGAAAGCGGGGGAUCUUCGGACCUCGCGCGGUUGGAUGGACCGAUGUUCGAUUAGCUAGUUGGUGAGGUAAUGGCUCACCAAGGCGACGAUCGAUAGCUGGUCUGAGAGGAUGAUCAGCCACACUGGGACUGAGACACGGCCCAGACUCCUACGGGAGGCAGCAGUGGGGAAUAUUGGACAAUGGGCGCAAGCCUGAUCCAGCAAUGCCGCGUGUGUGAAGAAGGCCUUCGGGUUGUAAAGCACUUUUAUCAGGAGCGAAAUACUACGGGCUAAUACCCUGUGGGGCUGACGGUACCUGAGGAAUAAGCACCGGCUAACUUCGUGCCAGCAGCCGCGGUAAUACGAAGGGUGCAAGCGUUAAUCGGAAUUACUGGGCGUAAAGCGUGCGUAGGCGGUUUUUUAAGUCUGCUGUGAAAUCCCCGGGCUCAACCUGGGAAUGGCAGUGGAUACUGGAAAGCUAGAGUGUGUCAGAGGAUGGUGGA